UGCAAUAGCUGCUGGGCUCUUCAC
Molecule: non-coding RNA, 24 nt
Filed under: Rattus norvegicus (Norway rat)
Lineage: Eukaryota; Metazoa; Chordata; Mammalia; Rodentia; Muridae
Source: RNAcentral